GAUUAACGCUGGCGGCGUGCCUAAUGCAUGCAAGUCGAACGCGCCGCCUCUUCGGGGGUGGUGGCGUGGCGGACGGGUGAGGAGCGCGUGGGCAACCUGCCCAGAGGUGGGGGUAGCCCUCGGAAACGGGGGUAAUUCCGCAUGGGGUCGACCUUCUGGUGGGGAGGUUGAGCAAAGGGUCUUCGGACUCGCCUUUGGAGGGGCCUGCGUCCGAUUAGCUAGUUGGGGGGUAACGGCCCACCAAGGCGGUGAUCGGUAGCUGGUCUGAGAGGACGGCCAGCCACACGGGGACUGAGACACGGCCCAGACUCCUACGGGAGCAGCAGUGGGGAAUCUUGCGCAAUGGGCGAAAGCCUGACGCAGCAACGCCGCGUGGGGGAUGAAUGCCCUCGGGUU
RNAcentral lists this ribosomal RNA (396 nucleotides) under uncultured bacterium. RNAcentral's name for it is "bacterial SSU rRNA". It matches the Rfam family "Bacterial small subunit ribosomal RNA", at positions 28 to 424 of the family's 1533-position model. The record is from RNAcentral.